Molecule: ribosomal RNA, 253 nt
Filed under: uncultured bacterium
Lineage: Bacteria
Description: partial 16S ribosomal RNA
Rfam family: Bacterial small subunit ribosomal RNA
Source: RNAcentral
UACGGAGGGUGCAAGCGUUAUCCGGAUUCACUGGGUUUAAAGGGUGCGUAGGUGGGAAUGUAAGUCAGUGGUGAAAUCUCCGUGCUUAACACGGAAACUGCCAUUGAUACUAUGUUUCUUGAAUUUUCUGGAGGUUAGCGGAAUAUGUCAUGUAGCGGUGAAAUGCUUAGAUAUGACAUAGAACACCUAUUGCGAAGGCAGCAAACUACGCAUAUAUUGACGCUGAGGCACGAAAGCGUGGGGAUCAAACAGG